AAUUCUCAAAACAUAUAAAGAUGCAUAUACAUUACUAAUUAAAAAUAUUCAAUAAAUCAUGGAAUAAGAAAAAAUACUUAGCCAUGAAAUAGGUGAAAAAAGAUUUAUAGUUUUUUCAAACACAGAAGACAAAUGAGAAAGCAUUUAAAUAAACAUCAUAAAUAUAAGGAGAUGGAAAAAAGAAGUAAAACUUACAAUUUGGCAUAAAAAGAGAUUGAAAUUUCUCAAAGGCACAUUUUUCUUGAGUACCCUGUAAAUCAAAAACAAAUAAUUGAAGCAGAAACCCAAGUUAAUUGCUUGUAAGACACAAAACCUAUCAAAUCUUCAAAAUCGCACUCCUUAUAAAAUAUAAGGCAUAAUAUCUCUUAAAUUGCUGGAAUAACUCGUAAAUUGAAGUUAAAAAUCUAAAUCCAAGUAAAUGUAAGAAGAUUCAGAAACUCUACGAUAUAGAGACAUGAGCUUACCCGGAAAGAGACAAACCAACACGUUAAAUUUUUGUCUAUAAAUAGAGAACCAGUAGGGAUACCAUCUUGUUCCUAUUUAUCUUUCUUGCGGCCUUAAUUAAGGCCGACUACUGAAGGUGGAAGAAAGACAUAAGAAAAUGGGGAGGGAGAGUGCGGCUGAGGGAGGAAGUAGGAAGUUUAGGUUUAGGUUUUAGAUUUACGUCGUCUACUUCUUAUAUAUGUUGCCUUAGUUUACUUCUAAUACAAA
RNAcentral lists this long non-coding RNA (711 nucleotides) under Nicotiana tabacum (common tobacco). RNAcentral's name for it is "long non-coding RNA (NTAB_LNC010731)". Lineage: Eukaryota; Viridiplantae; Streptophyta; Magnoliopsida; Solanales; Solanaceae. The record is from RNAcentral.